ACUGCGCGUAAUGAUCUCUUUUUGAGAUGUGUACCCAGAGGUUCAACUUGUGGGACCUGGACUGUACCCUCUGCAGUCACGUUGCCAGGAACAAUGCCACGCAUGUCAUUUCCUGAAAUAAUGGAGUUGGAAGGCAAUUAUCUACUCACGAAACAGGCUGAAACAACAGUUCCUGAUAUUCCUCUCAAAUACUUUAACUUCCCAAGGAAUCCGGAAAAAAUAAUUCCAUGAGACAGUGCUGUGAAUGAAGACCGGUUGCUAUUUCCUCCGUGACUCUUGUUUAUUAGCGCGUUGACUCAUCCGGAGUCCAGCGCCCGUUUCCACACCAGAGAGAUGGACUUGCACACCUGCCAAGUGCGGUCGGAGGCGCAGAUAACGGCCAGCGACAACAAUGGCCUUCCUCAGCCUGCCGGCCAGCAGCUCUUGGCAGGGUGGGCUGCGAGUGACUUAUCGUCGCCGCCCCGAGGGAUCUGAA
Molecule: non-coding RNA, 475 nt
Organism: Miniopterus natalensis
Lineage: Eukaryota; Metazoa; Chordata; Mammalia; Chiroptera; Miniopteridae
Source: RefSeq, a predicted model, not a curated record